AAACCUCUUUCAGUAGGGAAGAAGCGAAAGUGACGGUACCUGCAGAAGAAGCACCGGCUAACUACGUGCCAGCAGCCGCGGUAAUACGUAGGGUGCGAGCGUUAUCCGGAAUUAUUGGGCGUAAAGAGCUCGUAGGCGGUUUGUCGCGUCUGUCGUGAAAGUCCGGGGCUUAACCCCGGAUCUGCGGUGGGUACGGGCAGACUAGAGUGCAGUAGGGGAGACUGGAAUUCCUGGUGUAGCGGUGGAAUGCGCAGAUAUCAGGAGGAACACCGAUGGCGAAGGCAGGUCUCUGGGCUGUAACUGACGCUGAGGAGCGAAAGCAUGGGGAGCGAACAGGAUUAGAUACCCUGGUAGUCCAUGCCGUAAACGUUGGGCACUAGGUGUGGGGACCAUUCCACGGUUUCCGCGCC
RNAcentral lists this ribosomal RNA (410 nucleotides) under bacterium b7(2011). Its description in RNAcentral is "SSU rRNA". It matches the Rfam family "Bacterial small subunit ribosomal RNA", at positions 427 to 847 of the family's 1533-position model. The record is from RNAcentral.